CUAGUGGUGGUUCAGUGGUACAAUUCUUGCCUUUCAUGUGAGAGAUCCAGGCUCAAUUCCUGGCUAGUGAA
This 71-nucleotide transfer RNA is filed under the name Loxodonta africana (African savanna elephant). It matches the Rfam family "tRNA". Rfam says of the family: Transfer RNA (tRNA) molecules are approximately 80 nucleotides in length. Their secondary structure includes four short double-helical elements and three loops (D, anti-codon, and T loops). The record is from Rfam by way of RNAcentral. Lineage: Eukaryota; Metazoa; Chordata; Mammalia; Proboscidea; Elephantidae.